This is a long non-coding RNA of Suricata suricatta (meerkat), 504 nucleotides long. RefSeq lists it as uncharacterized. The transcript is spliced from 2 exons. Lineage: Eukaryota; Metazoa; Chordata; Mammalia; Carnivora; Herpestidae. The record is from RefSeq and is a predicted model, not a curated record.
AGAACCCACGUGAUUAGAGUGUGAUUAGAAAGUUGGAACUUGGGGUCCCGCUCUCCUCAACCUCUGAGGAGGGGAAAAGGCUGGAGGUUGAAUCCAUUACUAAUGGCCAGUUGAUGCAAUCAAUCGUGCUUAUGUCAUGAAGCCUCCAUAGAAACCCAAAAGACAGAGAGCUUCCAGCUUGCUUGUGAGUGUCAGCCUUGCGUCCGUCCAGAGCUGACAUGGGGAACAGCUGCACGUGGCGGCUUCGCCCGGAGAUCACUGCCACCAGCUGGCCGCAGCGGAUGAGCUCAAUCUGCCGGACCUUCUUCAUGACGCCAACACGAAUAAUUUCUACGCAAAUGAAUAGAAGUCAUCUUUAAAUUCAAAAUAAUCUGUUUGUUUGGGAUGUUCUCUCAAUUUUACCCAAAAGCAAUUGGAAAAGGCCCAAUUAAAGUGAUCUCAUGAAUCUUAAUGUCAUUAACUUGAAUGAGUUCUUUACAAAUAAAAUGGCAAGUCACUUUCAAA